This 315-nucleotide ribosomal RNA is filed under the name uncultured bacterium. RNAcentral's name for it is "bacterial SSU rRNA". It matches the Rfam family "Bacterial small subunit ribosomal RNA", at positions 29 to 334 of the family's 1533-position model. The record is from RNAcentral.
AGCGAACGCUGGCGGCGUGCCUAACACAUGCAAGUCGAACGUGAAAGCCUUCGGGCAAGUAAAGUGGCGUACGGGUGAGGAACACGUGGGUAAUCUACCCUAGAAUCUGGAAUAACUUGCCGAAAGGCGAGCUAAUACCGGAUAGAGCGAGAAUCUCGUCAAGGGGUUUUCGGAAAAGGGAGCUCGUAAGAGCCCUCGUUUUAGGAUGAGCCCGCGUCCCAUUAGCUUGUUGGUAGGGUAAUGGCCUACCAAGGCUACGAUGGGUAGCUGGUCUGAGAGGAUGAUCAGCCACACUGGAACUGAAACACGGUCCAG